UACGGAGGAUCCGAGCGUUAUCCGGAUUUAUUGGGUUUAAAGGGUGCGUAGGCGGCACUUUAAGUCAGGAGUGAAAGACGGCAGCUCAACUGUCGCAGUGCUCUUGAUACUGAAGUGCUUGAAUGCCGUUGAAGAUGGCGGAAUGAGACAAGUAGCGGUGAAAUGCAUAGAUAUCGUUUGGAACGCCGAUGGUGAAAACAGGUCGCUGGGGACGUGCUGACGCUGAGACACGAAAGCCAGGGGAGCGAACGGG
Molecule: ribosomal RNA, 253 nt
Filed under: uncultured bacterium
Lineage: Bacteria
Description: partial 16S ribosomal RNA
Rfam family: Bacterial small subunit ribosomal RNA
Source: RNAcentral